Castor canadensis (American beaver) is the source of this 133-nucleotide small nucleolar RNA. Lineage: Eukaryota; Metazoa; Chordata; Mammalia; Rodentia; Castoridae. The record is from Ensembl.
GUUUUUAAAACAAAUUUUAGCAGCCCUUCCCCCUGGACCUUUCAUAUGGUCCCAUGCCAGAGCAAACUGUGGCUCUGAACCAUUGUCUGGCCUCUUCCUAUAGGUAACUGGUGAUGAAGUGGGUUGCACAGUG